This 466-nucleotide ribosomal RNA is filed under the name uncultured bacterium. Its description in RNAcentral is "partial 16S ribosomal RNA". It matches the Rfam family "Bacterial small subunit ribosomal RNA", at positions 28 to 507 of the family's 1533-position model. The record is from RNAcentral.
GACGAACGCUGGCGGCGUGCUUAACACAUGCAAGUCGAACGGAAAGGCCCUGCUUGCAGGGUACUCGAGUGGCGAACGGGUGAGUAACACGUGGGUGAUCUGCCCUGCACUUCGGGAUAAGCUUGGGAAACUGGGUCUAAUACCGGAUAGGAACCAUCUUUAGUGUGGUGGUUGGAAAGUUUUUUCGGUGUAGGAUGAGCUCGCGGCCUAUCAGCUUGUUGGUGGGGUAAUGGCCUACCAAGGCGGCGACGGGUAGCCGGCCUGAGAGGGUGUACGGCCACAUUGGGACUGAGAGACGGGCCAGACUCCUACGGGAGGCAGCAGUGGGGAAUAUUGCACAAUGGGCGCAAGCCUGAUGCAGCGACGCCGCGUGGGGGAUGAAGGCCUUCGGGUUGUAAACUCCUUUCGCUAGGGACGAAGCUUUGUUGUGACGGUACCUAGAGAAGAAGCACCGGCUAACUACGUG